UUAUGUUACGACUUAUCUUAUUUUAAUAAUAAGAGCGACGGGCGAUGUGUACAUAUUUUAGAGCUAAAAUCAAAUUUUUAAUCUUUAAAAUUUUACUAUCAAAUCCACUUUUAAAAAACAUAUUUAAUAUUUAUAUUCAUAUAAAUAAUUUUAUUGUAACCCAUCUCUACUUAAAUAUAAGCUACACCUUGAUCUGAUAUAAAUUAUAAUAAAAAUAAUUGAAAAUUAUUAUUCUAAUAAAAUAUUCUAAUAACGACGGUAUAUAAACUGAAAAACAAAAUUAAGUUAGGUACAUCGUGGAUUAUCGAUUAUAGGACAGGUUCCUCUGAAUAGACUAAAAUACCGCCAAAUUUUUUAAGUUUCAAGAACAUAACUAUUACUACCUUAAUGUUAACAUUUAAAUUUAAAAUAAUAGGGUAUCUAAUCCUAGUUUA
RNAcentral lists this ribosomal RNA (434 nucleotides) under Anastrepha curvicauda (papaya fruit fly). RNAcentral's name for it is "partial 12S ribosomal RNA". Lineage: Eukaryota; Metazoa; Arthropoda; Insecta; Diptera; Tephritidae. The record is from RNAcentral.